GCGCCCGUAGCUCAGUUGGAUAGAGCAACGGCCUUCUAAGCCGUGGGUCGCAGGUUCGAAUCCUGCCGGGUGCG
Idiomarina loihiensis L2TR is the source of this 74-nucleotide transfer RNA. It matches the Rfam family "tRNA". From Rfam's summary of the family: Transfer RNA (tRNA) molecules are approximately 80 nucleotides in length. Their secondary structure includes four short double-helical elements and three loops (D, anti-codon, and T loops). The record is from Rfam. NCBI's taxonomy places the organism in Bacteria, Pseudomonadati, Pseudomonadota, Gammaproteobacteria, Alteromonadales, Idiomarinaceae.